Molecule: ribosomal RNA, 407 nt
Filed under: uncultured bacterium
Lineage: Bacteria
Description: partial 16S ribosomal RNA
Rfam family: Bacterial small subunit ribosomal RNA
Source: RNAcentral
GACGAACGCUGGCGGCGUGCCUAAUACAUGCAAGUAGGACGCAGUUGCGAACGGGUGAGUAACGCGUAGGUAACUGCCUAUUAGAGGGGGAUAACUAUUGGAAACGAUAGCUAAUACCGCAUACUAGUAGAUGGACCUGCGUUGUAUUAGCUAGUAGGUAGGGUAAUGGCCUACCUAGGCGACGAUACAUAGCCGGGCCGGGAGGGGUGUCGGGCACACUGGGACUGAGACCCGGCCCAGACUCCUACGGGAGGCAGCAGUAGGGAAUCUUCGGCAAUGGGGGGAACCCUGAACGAGCAACGCCGCGGGAGUGAAGAAGGUUUUCGGAUCGUAAAGCUCUGUUGGUAAGGAAGCGGUACUUAACCAGAAAGGGACGGCUAACUACGUGCCAGCAGCCGCGGUAAUUC